CAGCACGACUUUUUUCUACACACUAUCAUAAUUUUUUUACUCUAGUCUUAACUCUUCAAACCUAUUGCUACUCUUGCUCAGUGUCUGCCUCAUGAUCUUGUUGCUAUUCUUGCUGGCCCCUCAUACAUUAGUUGCUUGCUUAAAGCACUUGUUCCACCCUUUGCCUAGCUUGCUUAGAAUACUUAUUUAGAAUACUUGAUCUAGCCCAGCUCUACCCUAGUUUGCUCCCUACUACGCCCCGAGUUGUCGCUGAGUUGCCGCGAAACUACUGCUGAGCUGCCUUCAAACUGCCGCUAAGCUACCGCCAAACUACCACCAAAUUGUUGUCAAACUACUGCCAAAUUGUCGCCAAACUCGCUGCUGCCACCCUAUUGCCAUUGAUGUUGUCACUAA
This 393-nucleotide long non-coding RNA is filed under the name Physcomitrium patens. RNAcentral describes it as "long non-coding RNA (PPAT_LNC001205)". Lineage: Eukaryota; Viridiplantae; Streptophyta; Bryopsida; Funariales; Funariaceae. The record is from RNAcentral.